Molecule: ribosomal RNA, 425 nt
Filed under: uncultured bacterium
Lineage: Bacteria
Description: partial 16S ribosomal RNA
Rfam family: Bacterial small subunit ribosomal RNA
Source: RNAcentral
GUGAGGAAUUUUGCGCAAUGGGGGCAACCCUGACGCAGCGACGCCGCGUGGAGGACGAAGUCUUUCGGGAUGUAAACUCCUGUCAGUGGGGACGAUAAUGACGGUACCCACAGAGGAAGCACCGGCUAACUCCGUGCCAGCAGCCGCGGUAAGACGGAGGGUGCAAGCGGUGUUCGGAAUUACUGGGCGUAAAGCGUAUGUAGGCGGCAAGUUAAGUUCAAUGUGAAAGCCCACGGCUCAACCGAGGAGAUGCAUUGAAUACUGGCUAGCUAGGGGGUGUUAGAGGACGCCGGAAUUCCCAGUGUAGCGGUGAAAUGCGUAGAUAUUGGGAUGAACAUCGGUAGCGAAAGCGGUCUUCUGGGACAUACCUGCCGCUGAGGUACGAAAGCGUGGGGAGCAAACGGGAUUAGAAACCCCGGUAGUCC